CACGGAAGCCCCAAGCGUUGUUCGGAUUUAUUGGGCGUAAAGGGUGCGUAGGCGGCGUGGAAAGUCUGGUGUGAAAGGCGGGGGCUCAACCCCUGGAUUGCACUGGAUACUUCCAUGCUUGAGGACUGGAGGGGAGACUGGAAUUCACGGUGUAGCAGUGAAAUGCGUAGAUAUCGUGAGGAAGACCAGUGGCGAAGGCGAGUCUCUGGACAGUUCCUGACGCUGAGGCACGAAGGCUAGGGUAGCGAACAGG
This 253-nucleotide unclassified non-coding RNA is filed under the name uncultured Verrucomicrobiota bacterium. RNAcentral describes it as "uncultured Verrucomicrobia bacterium contains 16S-23S intergenic spacer region". It matches the Rfam family "Bacterial small subunit ribosomal RNA", at positions 524 to 776 of the family's 1533-position model. Lineage: Bacteria; Pseudomonadati; Verrucomicrobiota. The record is from RNAcentral.